RNAcentral lists this long non-coding RNA (2964 nucleotides) under Gallus gallus (chicken). The record is from RNAcentral. Lineage: Eukaryota; Metazoa; Chordata; Aves; Galliformes; Phasianidae.
GGCAAACUGAAAAUGUUAAAAAUUCCUAAUUUCUCACUUUUAUUCAGGUAAGUCUUCUAUAACUUCAAUUGGGAAGUGUUGUUUUAAACAAAACUACUCAUAUUUCAUGUGAACUGCUGUAAGAUAUACCUAUCAUGUGCUGUUAGCUGAGCCAGUUCCAAAAGUGUAACAGACUUCUAGGUUAAAAUCUCUGUGUCACGGUUUUGUAAUUUUGCUAUUGGUAUUCCACAUCAUAACAUCAUAGACAAAAGAGAAGAAGAACUACGUAUCCCAGAGGACCUCGUGGUCAGAGAAGGAAGAUACAUCAUGGAAGAUACGUCAUCUGGUUGCACAUGGUCUCUCACUUUCGCUUGCUGCUAGGGAGAGGAGUGGGUGUGCUUUCCAAGCCGUGUGCCUUCAUCAGGAGGAGCAGUGGCCAGGAAGAUGAGAUGCUAAGAUUUUCUGAUUUGUGAAAUGAAAUCAGAUGAUGUAUGGAAUCAAAAGGAAAAUUUGUACCAGUACUUGAAGAUGAAAAAUGGCUCACAGAUUUAGCAUUUUUGGAUAACUCUCUGAAGAACAACAACCUGAAGAGAUGAAACCAACUGUUGACUGCUGAAACAUUCCUUAGGACUAGCAGCCAAUGAACUUGAAAAAAUAGAGAAACAAAAUGGCUUAACACCUUAAUGUCAAGAGAGACUUCUAAUGAUGGAAAUGUUCUAGGCUGGAUCACUAAGAUAAGUAUUAAUAACAAUCUCCUGUUAUUUUUGUCUUCUAUACGUAGCGCAGAAGAAUAAGUGACUCCUUCCAGUCCUGUGGGUAUUGUUAAUGACAAGCUGCUUGGCUUUGUUUUUCUACCUUUCCUUAUUUAUUUCACUUACUAUCAUAUCUAGGCAGUUUCAGAGAGUUUUAUCAUUUCUUGUCAAAUCUAUCUUGAUCACUUAUCAUUCAAAUGGAUGUUUAAUAUCAAGCUUCAAUGCUCACAGACCUUUUCAGGACUCAGAAGCAGGUAUUUUACAUCCUGAAUAUAUAGUUAUAUGUAAAACGCUCUGAGUUAACUGUCUCGUGGCCUUUAUAUUCUCUUGAAUCAUCUUCUGAUUUCUAUUGACAAAAUGAAAAUACUUAGUUAAGGUUGUAGGCAAAAAAAUAAGUGCAGAAGGUAUAUAGUGUAUGCAAUACAUAGCCAUUACACUGAGUCCUAAAUAAGCCUAGAGGAAGACUGAACAGUAGUGCUGCAAGGAGUCAACAAUCUCAUUUAUCUUUGUGAGCUCCCAACUCCCACAUAGUCAGUACCAGGCACUUGAGUAAACAAUGCAAACAAACUCACUGAAUAAAGAUGGGAAAACUGAAAACCUGCACUAAUUCCUAAAAAGUAAAUACUUCAUACCCUGUCACAGAAGGGUUAUGAAAAAAUAGUAUGGAGAAGAAGAAAUGGUUUAAAAAGCCUAAAAAGCAGAAAUUGAGCCAUUCUUAUUAUAUGCACAGUCUAUUCUGAGCAAAACAUUUUUGUCAGAUCACAGUGCUGUAUCUUUUUUUUAUGUGCAGUUUGGAAAAACAGAGCAGUCUCUGCUUCACUAUGCUGAUUGUUUUGUCUCAUGCACGACCAUGUCUCUAAAUUUGCCACCCACAGCCCUGACAGCCUCUCUACCCUCCAUCACCCUCAUUUAAAAAAAUAAAAUCUCUGUUAGAUUACAUCUCUAGGGCAGGCACAAAAGCAACUGUGUAGAGAUCCCUGAUUUGAUCUAUAGAAGCUAUCUUGUACACUAGUGGGAUUCUAGUCUUGAGAGCAGAACACAAAUUCAUGUACCCUGCAGCUUGGCUUGGUUUUGCAGCCUAUGCAGCACUUUGUGCUGCCACAGCCAAAUUGGUACUGAUACUUUAAGUAAGUGUCGCAAUAUAUCUAAGUCAGUUUUAUGCUAACUGCAGUCACUGCUACAACCUCAGCAUUGGUGCUCCCUCCUUUACAGCCUGCGUAUUCAGCCACCACUCCAUAUAUUUGUUCUUCUGCUAGGCUAUUUGCUCUUCUUUCACAUACAAAAUAAAUUGUAUAUAUUCUUUUAUAUUCACAAGUAAUUUUUUACUUUCUGGCUUCCCUAUUUCUGUAUCAUCUCAUAUGUGUUACAGAACAUUGCUGGCUAGCCCCAUAUUGCUGUAAAGGCAUAGAGAGUCUCUAUUUCCAUUAUCACAUUUAAAUACUUCAGAAGAAACCAUGCAUUAUGUAUUCUGAAUACUUACUAAAACAUCUUGAUCCUUAAAAAGAGUUUGGUGUCUUUCACUAUCUUUUUCCCUACUUUACACUGGGGCCGAUAACUUUUGGAAUUACAUGAAACCUAGAGAACUGGGAAAAUGAGCCGGAGAGAAAAAUGUAUUUAAUUUUCAGAUAACAAAGCAGUCAGGAAAAGGACUGAAUAAGUCAAGAUAGUAGAAGCAUGGAAAGGUUGCCUUGCCCUCUCUAAACGCUUGGAGAAAUUGUUUCAUAAAGAAAUGGAAGAAAAAAUACAUUUUGUUAUGUUUAUUGUAUUUCUGUGCAGAGGAAGGGGUGAAACUGCAAAGAAAGGAGGCAGCAUCAUUCAUCGCAAGUAUUUAGUAACUGUUGUAGUAGGUGUCUUGCGGGGCUACGGGAUGUACGGGACAGGCCUCUCCCUAAGCAUAGAGAGACAGUGUUAUCGUGCUGACCUUGAUGCAGAGAAAACAGGAGAAGAAGAAGGAUGAGAAAAGAAUGUGGAAACGGCCAAAUAAGGCACAAUGUUAUCUGGUGUGAACCAAUCAGAGUGGGACAUGACAGCACGGUUUUGUAGGUAAAAUGUAUAUAAGCUGUGUUUAGUAGUGAAUAAACGCCAUUUUGCUGCUCAUCAUAUUGGUGUGUGUCUGCAGUCAUUUGGCCCUGAUCAGGCUAUUGAUCAGUGCGUGCAGAGGCCUAACACAGGUGGCUAACAUCGUUGUUGCAGAAAGCAACAAGUAACAUAGAAGCUAUAAUUUCAUAUGUAA